AACGAACGCUGGCGGCAUGCCUAACACAUGCAAGUCGAACGAUGCCUCCGGGCAUAGUGGCGCACGGGUGCGUAACGCGUGGGAAUCUGCCCUUGGGUUCGGAAUAACUCGCCGAAAGGCGAGCUAAUACCGGAUGAUGACGUAAGUCCAAAGAUUUAUCGCCCAAGGAUGAGCCCGCGUAGGAUUAGCUAGUUGGUGGGGUAAAGGCCCGCCAAGGCGACGAUCCUUAGCUGGUCUGAGAGGAUGAUCAGCCACACUGGGACUGAGACACGGCCCAGACUCCUACGGGAGGCAGCAGUGGGGAAUAUUGGACAAUGGGCGAAAGCCUGAUCCAGCAAUGCCGCGUGAGUGAUGAAGGCCUUAGGGUUGUAAAGCUCUUUUACCCGGGAUGAUAAUGACAGUACCGGGAGAAUAAGCGCCGGCUAACUCCGUG
This 433-nucleotide ribosomal RNA is filed under the name uncultured bacterium. Its description in RNAcentral is "partial 16S ribosomal RNA". It matches the Rfam family "Bacterial small subunit ribosomal RNA", at positions 29 to 507 of the family's 1533-position model. The record is from RNAcentral.